GGUUGUGGCUCAGUGGUAGAGUGCUCGCCUAGCAUGUGUGAGGCACUGGGUUCGAUUCUCAGCACCA
This 67-nucleotide transfer RNA is filed under the name Marmota monax (woodchuck). Its description in RNAcentral is "tRNA.Ala". It matches the Rfam family "tRNA". From Rfam's summary of the family: Transfer RNA (tRNA) molecules are approximately 80 nucleotides in length. Their secondary structure includes four short double-helical elements and three loops (D, anti-codon, and T loops). The record is from RNAcentral. Lineage: Eukaryota; Metazoa; Chordata; Mammalia; Rodentia; Sciuridae.